CAGUAGCCGCGGUAAUACGUAGGUGGCAAGCGUUGUCCGGAAUUAUUGGGCGUAAAGGGCUCGCAGGCCGUUUCUUAAGUCUGAUGUGAAAGCCCCCGGUUCAACCGGGGAGGGUCAUUGGAAACUGGGAAACUUGAGUGCAGAAGAGGAGAGUGGAAUUCCACGUGUAGCGGUGAAAUGCGUAGAGAUGUGGAGGAACACCAGUGGCGAAGGCGACUCUCUGGUCUGUAACUGACGCUGAGGAGCGAAAGCGUGGGGAGCGAACAGGAUUAGAUACCCCAGUAGUCCCUGUCUCUUAUAC
This 301-nucleotide ribosomal RNA is filed under the name uncultured bacterium. Its description in RNAcentral is "partial 16S ribosomal RNA". It matches the Rfam family "Bacterial small subunit ribosomal RNA", at positions 509 to 807 of the family's 1533-position model. The record is from RNAcentral.